UACAGGGGGGGCAAGCGUUGUUCGGAAUUACUGGGCGUAAAGGGCUCGUAGGUGGCCAACUAAGUCAGACGUGAAAUCCCUCAGCUUAACUGGGGAACUGCGUCUGAUACUGAAGAUCUUGAGUUCGGGAGAGGUGAGUGGAACUGCGAGUGUAGAGGUGAAAUUCGUAGAUAUUCGCAAGAACACCAGUGGCGAAGGCGGCUCACUGGCCCGAUACUGACGCUGAGGCACGAAAGCGUGGGGAGCAAACAGG
RNAcentral lists this ribosomal RNA (253 nucleotides) under uncultured bacterium. RNAcentral's name for it is "partial 16S ribosomal RNA". It matches the Rfam family "Bacterial small subunit ribosomal RNA", at positions 524 to 776 of the family's 1533-position model. The record is from RNAcentral.